Molecule: ribosomal RNA, 670 nt
Filed under: Lactobacillus gasseri
Lineage: Bacteria; Bacillati; Bacillota; Bacilli; Lactobacillales; Lactobacillaceae
Description: bacterial SSU rRNA
Rfam family: Bacterial small subunit ribosomal RNA
Source: RNAcentral
AUGGACGCAAGUCUGAUGGAGCAACGCCGCGUGAGUGAAGAAGGGUUUCGGCUCGUAAAGCUCUGUUGGUAGUGAAGAAAGAUAGAGGUAGUAACUGGCCUUUAUUUGACGGUAAUUACUUAGAAAGUCACGGCUAACUACGUGCCAGCAGCCGCGGUAAUACGUAGGUGGCAAGCGUUGUCCGGAUUUAUUGGGCGUAAAGCGAGUGCAGGCGGUUCAAUAAGUCUGAUGUGAAAGCCUUCGGCUCAACCGGAGAAUUGCAUCAGAAACUGUUGAACUUGAGUGCAGAAGAGGAGAGUGGAACUCCAUGUGUAGCGGUGGAAUGCGUAGAUAUAUGGAAGAACACCAGUGGCGAAGGCGGCUCUCUGGUCUGCAACUGACGCUGAGGCUCGAAAGCAUGGGUAGCGAACAGGAUUAGAUACCCUGGUAGUCCAUGCCGUAAACGAUGAGUGCUAAGUGUUGGGAGGUUUCCGCCUCUCAGUGCUGCAGCUAACGCAUUAAGCACUCCGCCUGGGGAGUACGACCGCAAGGUUGAAACUCAAAGGAAUUGACGGGGGCCCGCACAAGCGGUGGAGCAUGUGGUUUAAUUCGAAGCAACGCGAAGAACCUUACCAGGUCUUGACAUCCAGUGCAACCCUAAGAGAUUAGGUGUUCCCUUCGGGGACGCUGA